Molecule: long non-coding RNA, 163 nt
Organism: Mytilus californianus (California mussel)
Lineage: Eukaryota; Metazoa; Mollusca; Bivalvia; Mytilida; Mytilidae
Exons: 3
Source: RefSeq, a predicted model, not a curated record
CUCAGAGAAAAGGAAAUAAAACAGCCAUCCAUGUUCCUGCACAUAUAAAGCAAGCUGUUCGUGAUGCUUAUAGGCAUAGCACUACAGAAAACAAUUUAGUCUGGACAUGUAAAACAGCAGCUGGUUCUAUUUUGAAGUAUUCCUCAGGAGAAAACAAAGAGUU